CCUUGCAUCUCUCUUUUCUGCUUCUUCUCCAACAGCAACGAUACCCGCAUCGCAAUCGAAUAUGGAAGCAUGAACUAUCAUCUUCACUGAAGCUUGUGAAUCUUUUACAAAAGCAUGCAUGCAUGGUAUCGUAAAUUGUUGUUCCAGAUAAUAAAAAAACAAAAGAAAAACGAAUCUAGAACAUCAACAAUAUUUUAAUCUACUCCGAGAAAAAACAAUCCAGAACCAAAUUAAAAAGGAAGAAAAAAAGAGGAUCAGAU
This 260-nucleotide long non-coding RNA is filed under the name Glycine max (soybean). Its description in RNAcentral is "long non-coding RNA (GMAX_LNC000317)". The record is from RNAcentral. Lineage: Eukaryota; Viridiplantae; Streptophyta; Magnoliopsida; Fabales; Fabaceae.